UUCAAGAGGGCGCUUAUCUAUCUCAGAAAUAGCAGUAAUUAAUUUUUGAGGAAAAAAUGGCGGCAGCAGCAGCAUCAGCUUCCAUGUCGGCCACCGCCGUGUUGAUUCCUCGUGUUCCUGCAGCCGUUAGAACAACCCGCUGUUCCGCCUUGCCGCCUCUCCCUCCUCGCGUUUCCACCUCUUCCUUUUCCUCGUCCGUUAAGCUAACUCCAGGUACUGCUGUUAACAUUCCCCCUUUUAACGCCUCACUUCACUUGCCUGCUCUUCCUUUUGUUUGAUUUUAUUGAAUGAAAAUGAAAGCUUAAUGGUCAUAUAAGUUAAGAGUUCACUUUUAUAUCCGGUUCUUCCAAACACCAUAUUCGGAAUUGAGACUGGUUUUUUGGGAAAUGAAAUCAUUGGUGGUGGGUGUAGGAUCAGAAACGUUAGAGUGGUGACAAUCACACGUGUUAAGAGUAGUUGCAGUAAACUAAUUAUGGAGGCUUUGUCUGAUAAAAAUGGGUCAAUCUUUUGGACGAUCAUAUGGCAGUUGGGACCCCAAAUUUCAAAUGAGGAUGAAUUGGUGCCAAUUCAAGUAUGGGAUAGAAUGCAAGUAACAACUCUGGAUGAAUGUCGG
Molecule: long non-coding RNA, 613 nt
Filed under: Gossypium barbadense (sea-island cotton)
Lineage: Eukaryota; Viridiplantae; Streptophyta; Magnoliopsida; Malvales; Malvaceae
Description: long non-coding RNA (GBAR_LNC018646)
Source: RNAcentral